Molecule: ribosomal RNA, 649 nt
Filed under: uncultured Actinomyces sp.
Lineage: Bacteria; Bacillati; Actinomycetota; Actinomycetes; Actinomycetales; Actinomycetaceae
Description: bacterial SSU rRNA
Rfam family: Bacterial small subunit ribosomal RNA
Source: RNAcentral
CAACUGCGAGAUUGAGAAUGACACUACUGCAUCUGAAUAACUAUCACAAGACCGGAUAAGAGGAAAGGGUGGAUCUCUAGACCUCAAACAUCGGAAGUGCCAAAAUGAAAUAAGCAAGUAGAUAAGAUAUUGAAUCACCAGCCGACAAUCUCUAGUGGGUGUGAGAGGAUCACACCCACACGGGAAUUGAGACCCGGUCCAAACUCUUACGGGAGGCAGCAGUGGGGAAUAUUGCACAAUGGACACAAGCCUGACGCACCCCUGCCGCGUGUGUAAAGAAGGCCUUAGGGUUUAAAGCUUUUCCAGUUAGGCCAAAGGCACCCUACUUAGUAUGAGGGAGGAUUGACGUUCGCGGCAAAAGAACCACGGGAUUACUCCGUCCCAGCAACCGGGGUAAUAUGGGGGGUCCAAUUGUUAAUUAGAAUAUCAAGUCGUAAAGGGCCCUCGGGCGGUUUAAAAGGUCAAAUGUAAACUCCCCGCCCUCCAUCGGGAAUAGGAUUUAUAAACUGUCAUUCUACAGUCUUAUGGGGGAUGGUAGACCCAUGGGUCUAGUGGGAAAAUGUGUAGAGAUCUGGAGGAAUCCCGGGGGCGAAGGCGGCCCCCUGGACAAAAACUGACGCUCUGGUAGAAAACGUGGGGAGCAAACAGG